CACACCGCCCGUCACACCAUGGGAAUUGGAGUCUACCCGAAGGUGGUGCGCCAACCUGCAAAGGAGGCAGCCAACCACGGUAGGUUCAGUGACUGGGGUG
This 100-nucleotide ribosomal RNA is filed under the name uncultured bacterium. RNAcentral describes it as "partial 16S ribosomal RNA". It matches the Rfam family "Bacterial small subunit ribosomal RNA", at positions 1386 to 1482 of the family's 1533-position model. The record is from RNAcentral.